GAUGAACGCUGGCGGCGUGCCUAAUACAUGCAAGUCGAGCGAACAGACGAGGAGCUUGCUCCUCUGACGUUAGCGGCGGACGGGUGAGUAACACGUGGAUAACCUACCUAUAAGACUGGGAUAACUUCGGGAAACCGGAGCUAAUACCGGAUAAUAUAUUGAACCGCAUGGUUCAAUAGUGAAAGACGGUUUUGCUGUCACUUAUAGAUGGAUCCGCGCCGCAUUAGCUAGUUGGUAAGGUAACGGCUUACCAAGGCGACGAUGCGUAGCCGACCUGAGAGGCUGAUCGGCCACCCUGGAACUGAGCCACGGUCCAGACUCCUACGGGAGGCAGCAGUCGGGAAUCUUCCGCAAUGGGCGAAAGCCUGACGGAGCAACGCCGCGUGAGUGAUGACGGUCUUCGGAUCGUAAAACUCUGUUAUUAGGGAAGAACCAAUGUGUACGUAACUAUGCACGUCUUGACGGUACCUAAUCAGAAAGCCACGGCUAACUACGUG
This 497-nucleotide ribosomal RNA is filed under the name uncultured bacterium. RNAcentral's name for it is "partial 16S ribosomal RNA". It matches the Rfam family "Bacterial small subunit ribosomal RNA", at positions 28 to 507 of the family's 1533-position model. The record is from RNAcentral.